AUUUUUUUAAGUCUAUAAAAAAGUUUGAAUUUUAAUUUUACAAAUUAAAUUAUAAAACCUU
RNAcentral lists this transfer RNA (61 nucleotides) under Romanomermis nielseni. RNAcentral's name for it is "tRNA-Val". The record is from RNAcentral. Lineage: Eukaryota; Metazoa; Nematoda; Enoplea; Mermithida; Mermithidae.